CCACCCACUCCCCCCCCCCCCUCCCACCUCCCCCAUCCCCUUUCUCCCAACACCCUCAAACCGCCAUCGCCUCCACACCACCGUCGCCGCCCCCUAUUUUCCCCGACUCCACCGCCUCCAAGCCAGCGUCGCCGCCGUCGCUCUCCCUCCCCGCUUUUCCCCCACGUCGUCCAACCGUCACAGCCUCCACGCCGUCGUCGCUACCCCCCACUUUCCCCGACUCCACCACCUCCACACCGGCGUCGCCGCAUCGGGAGAAGGAGGCCUCCGCGCUACGGAUUGCGGAGACGCCGCGGUCUUCUCCCUCCCGCAUGGUCCCUCCAUCACCGCCUCCACGACGCCGCUUCCGUGGGAGCAGGGGAACGCCGUUGCCUUCUCCCUCUCCCGCGCGGUCCUCCCCAUCAACGCCAUUUUGCCGGCUCCACGCCGCCCGUACACCGAUCUGGAUCUCCACCGUCCAGGCCGCCGCCACCUCCGCCGGUCACUACUGCCCCUCUAUAGCUCGUGAUCUGCCUUCAUCUGAGACAAUCUCCCCCAAAAAUCCAGCUCAAAGGGAAGUGGUAUCAUAGGAGCUAUGACGAUUUAGGGAAAUCCACGGCGCGCAGUUGUAAGUUUAUUUGGAGAAGUGGACAUUACCAAAGACCAAGAGAAAGGUAACUUUCUAAUUUCUAUAUACAAAAAGAAGUGAUCUUACCAUCUGUGUUAGGUGCACAGGGUAAAGUGGUUUAUGCCCUACUGAUUUGAUUUAUCAGUAUAGCGAGUCAAGACGCAGAAUUAUAUCAUGUUAGAUGUAUAAUUAUGAAGUGCAUGUGAAUUUGGGUCUGUUUGCUGUCCCUGUGCACCACCUUGAUGUCUCUUUGCCGGACGCUUGCAUUGAAAAUUAAGGGAAUCAAUUGAAUCCAUUGUACUAAUGCAAGUGAUAUGUAGAGACUUGUUUCUAUGUUAGAUAGUAUGAUUUCAUUUAUGUAUUUAGGGGAAAUGUUUUUAAGUUUGCUCUGAACUGCAAACAUUUUUAUGUACUAACACAGUUUGCUUGAGUGGGCUGACGCUAUUUCGAAUGAUGUUCAGUUUCUCACAGAUUCCAUUGCUGUUUACAUUUUGUAUUUUUCUUCUAUCAAACCAGAUCAAGCUGUAGAAGAAACAAAGUAACACAGAUUUUUUUUUCAGCAA
This is a non-coding RNA of Oryza sativa Japonica Group (Japanese rice), 1170 nucleotides long. Lineage: Eukaryota; Viridiplantae; Streptophyta; Magnoliopsida; Poales; Poaceae. The record is from RefSeq and is a predicted model, not a curated record.